CGGGUAGUUACGGUUGCGGCAAA
Molecule: small nuclear RNA, 23 nt
Filed under: Arabidopsis thaliana (thale cress)
Lineage: Eukaryota; Viridiplantae; Streptophyta; Magnoliopsida; Brassicales; Brassicaceae
Description: snRNA_17577
Source: RNAcentral